AAAUUGAAGAGUUUGAUCAUGGCUCAGAUUGAACGCUGGCGGCAGGCCUAACACAUGCAAGUCGAACGGUAACAGGAAGCAGCUUGCUGCUUUGCUGACGAGUGGCGGACGGGUGAGUAAUGUCUGGGAAACUGCCUGAUGGAGGGGGAUAACUACUGGAAACGGUGGCUAAUACCGCAUAACGUCGCAAGACCAAAGAGGGGGACCUUCGGGCCUCUUGCCAUCAGAUGUGCCCAGAUGGGAUUAGCUAGUUGGUGAGGUAACGGCUCACCAAGGCGACGAUCCCUAGCUGGUCUGAGAGGAUGACCAGCCACACUGGAACUGAGACACGGUCCAGACUCCUACGGGAGGCAGCAGUGGGGAAUAUUGCACAAUGGGCGCAAGCCUGAUGCAGCCAUGCCGCGUGUAUGAAGAAGGCCUUCGGGUUGUAAAGUACUUUCAGCGGGGAGGAAGGUGUUGUGGUUAAUAACCGCAGCAAUUGACGUUACCCGCAGAAGAAGCACCGGCUAACUCCGUGCCAGCAGCCGCGGUAAUACGGAGGGUGCAAGCGUUAAUCGGAAUUACUGGGCGUAAAGCGCACGCAGGCGGUCUGUCAAGUCGGAUGUGAAAUCCCCGGGCUCAACCUGGGAACUGCAUUCGAAACUGGCAGGCUUGAGUCUUGUAGAGGGGGUAGAAUUCCAGGUGUAGCGGUGAAAUGCGUAGAGAUCUGGAGGAAUACCGGUGGCGAAGGCGGCCCCCUGGACAAAGACUGACGCUCAGGUGCGAAAGCGUGGGGAGCAAACAGGAUUAGAUACCCUGGUAGUCCACGCCGUAAACGAUGUCUACUUGGAGGUUGUGCCCUUGAGGCGUGGCUUCCGGAGCUAACGCGUUAAGUAGACCGCCUGGGGAGUACGGCCGCAAGGUUAAAACUCAAAUGAAUUGACGGGGGCCCGCACAAGCGGUGGAGCAUGUGGUUUAAUUCGAUGCAACGCGAAGAACCUUACCUGGUCUUGACAUCCACAGAACUUUCCAGAGAUGGAUUGGUGCCUUCGGGAACUGUGAGACAGGUGCUGCAUGGCUGUCGUCAGCUCGUGUUGUGAAAUGUUGGGUUAAGUCCCGCAACGAGCGCAACCCUUAUCCUUUGUUGCCAGCGAUUAGGUCGGGAACUCAAAGGAGACUGCCAGUGAUAAACUGGAGGAAGGUGGGGAUGACGUCAAGUCAUCAUGGCCCUUACGACCAGGGCUACACACGUGCUACAAUGGCGCAUACAAAGAGAAGCGACCUCGCGAGAGCAAGCGGACCUCAUAAAGUGCGUCGUAGUCCGGAUUGGAGUCUGCAACUCGACUCCAUGAAGUCGGAAUCGCUAGUAAUCGUGGAUCAGAAUGCCACGGUGAAUACGUUCCCGGGCCUUGUACACACCGCCCGUCACACCAUGGGAGUGGGUUGCAAAAGAAGUAGGUAGCUUAACCUUCGGGAGGGCGCUUACCACUUUGUGAUUCAUGACUGGGGUGAAGUCGUAACAAGGUAACCGUAGGGGAACCUGCGGUUGGAUCACCUCCUUA
This 1541-nucleotide ribosomal RNA is filed under the name Salmonella enterica subsp. enterica serovar Heidelberg. Its description in RNAcentral is "bacterial SSU rRNA". It matches the Rfam family "Bacterial small subunit ribosomal RNA". The record is from RNAcentral. Lineage: Bacteria; Pseudomonadati; Pseudomonadota; Gammaproteobacteria; Enterobacterales; Enterobacteriaceae. RNAcentral also lists the same sequence under 1 other name.